AUUGAACGCUGGCGGCAUGCCUUACACAUGCAAGUCGAACGGCAGCACGGGAGCAAUCCUGGUGGCGAGUGGCGAACGGGUGAGUGAUACAUCGGAACGUGUCCAGUUGUGGGGGAUAGCCCGGCGAAAGCCGGAUUAAUACCGCAUACGACCUACGGGUGAAAGCGGGGGAGUCGCAAGACCUCGCGCUAUUGGAGCGGCCGAUGUCAGAUUAGCUUGUUGGNGGGGUAAAGGCCUACCAAGGCGACGAUCUGUAGCUGGUCUGAGAGGACGACCAGCCACACUGGGACUGAGACACGGCCCAGACUCCUACGGGAGGCAGCAGUGGGGAAUUUUGGACAAUGGGCGCAAGCCUGAUCCAGCCAUGCCGCGUGCGGGAAGAAGGCCU
This 388-nucleotide ribosomal RNA is filed under the name uncultured bacterium. RNAcentral's name for it is "bacterial SSU rRNA". It matches the Rfam family "Bacterial small subunit ribosomal RNA", at positions 29 to 417 of the family's 1533-position model. The record is from RNAcentral.